Non-coding RNA from Dermatophagoides farinae (American house dust mite), 256 nucleotides. Lineage: Eukaryota; Metazoa; Arthropoda; Arachnida; Sarcoptiformes; Pyroglyphidae. The record is from RefSeq and is a predicted model, not a curated record.
GAAAAAAGAAUUUUUGUCAAUUCUUUAAAUACAUCUAUAACCGAUAAAAUGGCGUCACGAGAAAUGAAUACCAUGUUGAUAAUUAAAUCAAUGAUUUUCAAAAUCCCCAUUAUUCAAACGAACAUCAUAGAUCCGGACUUACUAAACUAAACGUUACAACAAAGAAUAAACAAAAGUUGGUGGAAUAAAAAUAUUUCUUUUUUUUUAAUUUUAAUUUUGGUUUGAUUAAAUUAAAAAUUAUGUACGUCGUAUGAAA